AAAAAAUUCAACUCCCUCCACAAUCCACAUCCAGUGCCAAACAACACCACAACAAAUCAACAAUGGAGGAAGGGCAAGACUCAUGGACAUCAGCAGACAAGCUAUACCACAUCAUCUUCUGCUUCUCCCUAACACUCCUCUUCUCUCUCCUCAUCUCUCUCACUCAUUCCUCCUUCCUCCGAAAUCGCUCUCUCUUCUUCGCCGCUUCUCUCUCUCUCCUCGCCGGCGCCGCCAAAGAAGCCGCCGAUCACCUCGGCUUCUUCCGCUCCUCCGGCGCCUCCGCCAAAGACGCCGUCGCUGACGUCAUUGGCGUCGUCAUCGCUUGCUUCCUGCUUUCUCUCUCCAAAUUCUUCCAACGGAAGUCCAAAAUUGAUGAUGAUGAUGAUGAUCAGGUUGCCGGUGUUGCGCUUGUUUGAAUCGAGUAUCACUUUCUCAGGUACUGUGGAUGGCAGUUACAUAACCGGCACGGAUCUCAAAUUCUCAAUACAAUGACUUUUGUUCUGCUGAAGAGGAGCAGUUGGCCAUCUUCUUUUAUGAAUUUCCCAUCAUGCAGAGGCAUUCAAAAGUACGGGGUAAAAAGAAAAUUUUGAUGCUUACAGCUCUUGUGUCGGUGGCUACUGCAGUGACAACAAACAUGAGAUUGAAGGCGAUGAUGAA
This is a long non-coding RNA of Chenopodium quinoa (quinoa), 657 nucleotides long. RefSeq lists it as uncharacterized. The record is from RefSeq and is a predicted model, not a curated record. The transcript has 3 exons. Lineage: Eukaryota; Viridiplantae; Streptophyta; Magnoliopsida; Caryophyllales; Amaranthaceae.